CCUACGGGAGACAGCAGUGAGGAAUAUUGGUCAAUGGACGAGAGUCUGAACCAGCCAAGUAGCGUGAAGGAUGACUGCCCUAUGGGUUGUAAACUUCUUUUAUAUGGGAAUAAAAUGUUCCACGUGUGGGUUUUUGUAUGUACCAUAUGAAUAAGGAUCGGCUAACUCCGUGCCAGCAGCCGCGGUAAUACGGAGGAUCCGAGCGUUAUCCGGAUUUAUUGGGUUUAAAGGGAGCGUAGGUGGAUUGUUAAGUCAGUUGUGAAAGUUUGCGGUUCAACCGUAAAAUUGCAGUUGAAACUGGCAGUCUUGAGUACAGUAGAGGUGGGCGGAAUUCGUGGUGUAGCGGUGAAAUGCUUAGAUAUCACGAAGAACUCCGAUUGCGAAGGCAGCUCACUGGACUGCAACUGACACUGAGGCUCGAAAGUGUGGGUAUCAAACAGGAUUAGAUACCCUAGUAGUC
This 460-nucleotide ribosomal RNA is filed under the name uncultured bacterium. RNAcentral describes it as "partial 16S ribosomal RNA". It matches the Rfam family "Bacterial small subunit ribosomal RNA", at positions 338 to 795 of the family's 1533-position model. The record is from RNAcentral.